This 773-nucleotide ribosomal RNA is filed under the name uncultured Neocallimastigales. Its description in RNAcentral is "partial large subunit ribosomal RNA". It matches the Rfam family "Eukaryotic large subunit ribosomal RNA", at positions 24 to 656 of the family's 3401-position model. Lineage: Eukaryota; Fungi; Neocallimastigomycota; Neocallimastigomycetes; Neocallimastigales. The record is from RNAcentral.
UAUGUGAUCGUCUCUCGCAUAUCAAUAAGCGGAGGAAAAGAAACUAACAAGGAUUCCCCUAGUAACGGCGAGUGAAGCGGGAAGAGCUCAAAUUUGAAUCUUAAAGGGUUUCCCUUUACGAAUUGUAGUUUAAAGAAGUGUUUUCUGUUGAGGUUUUGGUAAAAGUUCUUUGGAAUAGGACAUCAUAGAGGGUGAGAAUCCCGUAUUUGACCUUUACUUUCAACUUUGUGAUACACUUUCAAAGAGUCGGAUUGUUUGGGAAUGCAGUCCAAAAUGGGUGGUAAAUUUCAUCUAAAGCUAAAUAUUGGCGAGAGACCGAUAGCGAACAAGUACCGUGAGGGAAAGAUGAAAAGAACUUUGAAAAGAGAGUUAAACAGUACGUGAAAUUGUCAAAAGGGAAGCGUUUGACACCAGUGUUGUUUUUCUGAAAAUCAAUUAAAGAACUGUUUAUGCUAAGUUGUUUAGACUUUAUCAGCUAACUGUUUAGUUUUGAGCUUUUCUUUAAUGCACUUUUCAGUUAACAAGUCAAUAUCAAUUUCUUUUGCUGUAAAAAAGCUUGAGGAAGGUGGCUUGAGAUUCGUCUUAAGUGUUUAUAGCCUCUUGCCUAUGCAGUCGGAGAGAUUGAGGUCUGCAGCGUAGAUCCUUCGGGGCUAAAUGCAUUUGUGCUAAGUUAUAGCAUUUUAUAGACAACUUGUUGACUAUGAUUUGUCUUGUAGCUUACUCGCUUAUGUUAUUUUACCUACGCUUAGGAUGUUGACACACGCGCGUGCUCG